This 370-nucleotide ribosomal RNA is filed under the name uncultured bacterium. Its description in RNAcentral is "bacterial SSU rRNA". It matches the Rfam family "Bacterial small subunit ribosomal RNA", at positions 525 to 896 of the family's 1533-position model. The record is from RNAcentral.
ACGGAGGGUGCAAGCGUUAUCCGGAAUCACUGGGUUUAAAGGGUGCGUAGGCGGAAAAUUAAGUCAGUGGUGAAAGCCUGUCGCUUAACGAUAGAACUGCCAUUGAUACUGAUUUUCUUGAAUUGGGUUGAGGUUAGCGGAAUGUGACAUGUAGCGGUGAAAUGCAUAGAUAUGUCAUGGAACACCAAUUGCGAAGGCAGCUAGCUGGGCCUUGAUUGACGCUGAGGCACGAAAGCGUGGGUAGCGAACAGGAUUAGAUACCCUGGUAGUCCACGCCCUAAACGAUGCUAACUCGAUGUUUGGGCGUAGUGCUUGAGCAUCCAAGGGAAACCGAUAAGUUAGCCACCUGGGGAGUACGACCGCAAGGUUG